This 440-nucleotide ribosomal RNA is filed under the name uncultured bacterium. Its description in RNAcentral is "partial 16S ribosomal RNA". It matches the Rfam family "Bacterial small subunit ribosomal RNA", at positions 338 to 795 of the family's 1533-position model. The record is from RNAcentral.
CCUACGGGAGGCAGCAGUGGGGAAUAUUGCACAAUGGGGGAAACCCUGAUGCAGCGACGCCGCGUGAGUGAAGAAGUAACUCGGUACGUAAAGCUCUAUCAGCAGGGACGAAAAUGACGGUACCUGACUAAGAAGCCCCGGCUAACUACGUGCCAGCAGCCGCGGUAAUACGUAGGGGGCAAGCGUUAUCCGGAUUUACUGGGUGUAAAGGGAGCGUAGACGGCAGUACAAGUCUGGAGUGAAAGCCCGGGGCUUAACCCCGGAAAUGCUUUGGAAACUGUGCGGCUGGAGUGCAGGAGGGGUAAGCGGAAUUCCUAGGGUAGCGGUGAAAUGCGUAGAUAUUAGGAGGAACACCGGUGGCGAAGGCGGCUUACUGGACUGUAACUGACGUUGAGGCUCGAAAGCGUGGGGAGCAAACAGGAUUAGAUACCCCGGUAGUC